Molecule: non-coding RNA, 21 nt
Filed under: Caenorhabditis elegans
Lineage: Eukaryota; Metazoa; Nematoda; Chromadorea; Rhabditida; Rhabditidae
Source: RNAcentral
UCCAAGAAUAGAACAUAUAUC